This 1020-nucleotide ribosomal RNA is filed under the name human gut metagenome. RNAcentral's name for it is "bacterial LSU rRNA". It matches the Rfam family "Bacterial large subunit ribosomal RNA", at positions 1391 to 2420 of the family's 2925-position model. The record is from RNAcentral.
CUAAGCCGAGGCCGAAAGGCGUAGGUGAUGGACAACAGGUUGAUAUUCCUGUACCGCCAAUAAGCGUUUGAGAGAUGGAGUGACACAGUAGGAUAAGCUAACCGUACUGUUGGUUAUGUACGGCUAAGCAUUGAGGCAGUCUAAAUAGGCAAAUCCGUUUAGACAAUGCUAGGAUGUGAUGGGGAAGCCCUUCGGGGCGAAGUAGCUGAUUUCACACUGUCAAGAAAAGCUUCUAUCGAGUUUAAAGGCGCCCGUACCGUAAACCGACACAGGUGGGUGAGGAGAGUAUCCUAAGGCCAGCGAGAGAACUAUUGUUAAGGAACUCGGCAAAAUGACCCCGUAACUUAGGGAGAAGGGGUGCCUGUCUAUGACAGGCCGCAGAGAAUAGGCCCAAGCGACUGUUUACCAAAAACACAGGUUUCUGCUAAGUCGCAAGACGAUGUAUAGGAGCUGACGCCUGCCCGGUGCUGGAAGGUUAAGGGGAUCUGUUAGAGCAAUCGAAGCAGUGAACUUAAGCCCCAGUAAACGGCGGCCGUAACUAUAACGGUCCUAAGGUAGCGAAAUUCCUUGUCGGGUAAGUUCCGACCCGCACGAAAGGCGUAACGAUUUGGGCACUGUCUCAACAACAGACUCGGUGAAAUUGUAAUCCCGGUGAAGAUGCCGGGUACCUGCGACAGGACGGAAAGACCCCAUGGAGCUUUACUGUAGCUUGACGUUGGGUCUUGGUACUACAUGUACAGGAUAGGUGGGAGACUAUGAAGCAUGGACGCCAGUCUGUGUGGAGUCAUCCUUGGGAUACCACCCUUGUAGUACUGGGAUCCUAACCAUAGGCCUUGAAUCAGGUCUUGGAACACCGUCAGGUGGGCAGUUUGACUGGGGCGGUCGCCUCCUAAAAAGUAACGGAGGCGCUCAAAGGUUUCCUCAGCACGGUCGGAAAUCGUGCGAAGAGUGUAAAGGCAAAAGGAAGCUUGAUUGCAAGACAUACAGGUCGAGCAAGGACGAAAGUCGGACUUAGUGAUC